Molecule: non-coding RNA, 1198 nt
Organism: Peromyscus maniculatus bairdii (prairie deer mouse)
Lineage: Eukaryota; Metazoa; Chordata; Mammalia; Rodentia; Cricetidae
Source: RefSeq, a predicted model, not a curated record
UUGUAACUGUAACCUGGCAACAAAUGUUUGUGACUUUUGUGCUUAUAAACCCGCUUUUCCCCCUGCUCAGGGCUGUCGGAGAAACAAGACUCCUGUUUAUGUGAUGAAUUAUUCAAAUCUUUGGAACCCAUGCAACGUGACCCCAGCCUCACCCUCCCGCUGCCGUGUCUCCCCACUGUGAUGGACUGUGUGCCCUUGAGCUGUGGGCUAAGACAAACCCUUUCUUCCUGAGCUGCCUUCAUCACAGCCACGAGAAAAGCGGCUGCUACAGAGACUGCCUCAUACUUCCUAGUCUCUGCACUAGAUCACCCCACUCCACCACACCGGCAGGCUGGAACAUAGCUCUUUCUGGAGCAGCCAGCCUUUGGGCUUGAACUUGGCUCUCCUGGGGCUCCGGUUUGACAACACAGCCUGCAGAUUUUGUUUAUCAGCCUCCAUAAUUUCAUGAUCUAAUUCCUUACAAUAAAUCUUCACACACACACACACACACACACACACACACACACACACACACACACACACACACACACCUUUCUAUUGACCUUUCCCCUUUGCAUAAUAGACUAAUACAGAAAGAACAAGAAAUCACGCAUCUGUUCCAGAAUGAAGGCAACAGCCCUUUACACACAUCUGGAGGUAGUAAAGAGUCCUGGGCUAGAUAGAUAUGUUGUCUUUUUUCCUUCUGCAGCUGUGUGUUAAGGUUUGUGUCUUCUUCUGUAAUAGAUGAGAUGCUAUGUGAGAGACACAGACAGGCAGAUUUUGUGUCUUUUCAUCUCCUCCAAAUUUAUUGACUAACAACAAUUUUACAAGUUACAACAAUUUUAUUGACUAUAACUCACCAGAGAAUUCUGAUUUCACUGAUAGUAUGACCACUGGCAAUCACAGGUUCUUUUAUUCCAAACUUAAUUGUUAAUAUUAGCUUGCAGGCCACAUACUAAACUUCACACAGCAAUAUAUAGACAGCUACAAAGAGUUAAGGCUCCUUCAUGACCUGGAGUUCCCAGGAGCCUUAGAGAAAGCAGAGGCAGCGGCUGAUGCACACUGUGGAAUCACUGCAGGUGGUUAGUCCAGAGCUGGAAAGAGGUCUGCUCACGAGCCUACCUGGAACCAUGAAGAGAAAGUCUGCUGGACCACCGGAAGUCCAUGUCUCCAUUUGUCUUAUUAUCACCGCAUCCCUCAGAUCACUCUCCCAUUUUGU